AACAUUCUAGAGUGGAAGAGUGGAAUCUUGUCCUUUGUUACAGUAUCAUGUAAGCAGCCUUGUCCGGUGAUACAAUGACACAUUUAUGCGUUGAUACAAUGUAAAAGCGCUGACUUUUGACAAAAGAUCAAUGAGAAAAAUCAGAGAAUCCGGUCCAGACAAGGGGAAAACUGGGGUAAGCUAAGUUUGUAGGCUGUAUCGCAUCGUGUAUCAACCCGGUAAGAUGAGGUGCCGUUCCAUAACUUUGAUACGCCAGUAGAUCUCUGUAAGAUGUUUUAGAAGAGUAAACUGAGGCACACUGUCCACAUAAGAGGAUACACGAGCCACGGGGCGGUGCUUUACCCUGCAACAAGACAACAACCCAGAAUGCAGUACACACAAACAAAAGACUUGAGAAGGGGUAAAAGACAGCAUGGACACCCAAGUCAUGUCCAACACAAUCCCGUCUGUAAUAAUAAUAAUGAAAUGAUGAUAAUAAUAAUAUUCAUAAAUAUAAAUAUAGCAAUGUGCUGCAGCUGGAAAGUUUGUCUUAUGAAUUUACAAACAUAGGAUUUGAGGUCACGGACCGUCCUAUAUUCAGAUAUAAC
Molecule: long non-coding RNA, 587 nt
Organism: Alosa sapidissima (American shad)
Lineage: Eukaryota; Metazoa; Chordata; Actinopteri; Clupeiformes; Clupeidae
Exons: 3
Source: RefSeq, a predicted model, not a curated record